CAGUCGCCCGGUAAUACGUAGGUGGCAAGCGUUGUCCGGAAUUAUUGGGCGUAAAGGGCUCGCAGGCGGUUUCUUAAGUCUGAUGUGAAAGCCCCCGGCUCAACCGGGGAGGGUCAUUGGAAACUGGGAAACUUGAGUGCAGAAGAGGAGAGUGGAAUUCCACGUGUAGCGGUGAAAUGCGUAGAGAUGUGGAGGAACACCAGUGGCGAAGGCGACCCUCUGGUCUGUAACUGACGCUGAGGAGCGAAAGCGUGGGGAGCGAACAGGAUUAGAUACCCCCGUAGUCCCUGUCUCUUAUACC
This 301-nucleotide ribosomal RNA is filed under the name uncultured bacterium. RNAcentral's name for it is "partial 16S ribosomal RNA". It matches the Rfam family "Bacterial small subunit ribosomal RNA", at positions 509 to 808 of the family's 1533-position model. The record is from RNAcentral.